UCUUGCGCAAUGCGCGAAAGCGUGACGCAGCAACGCCGCGUGGGGGAAGAAGGCCUUCGGGUUGUAAACCCCUUUCAGGGGGGACGAAGGUGUGACGGUGAAUAGCCGAUCGCACUGACGGUACCCCCAGAAGAAGCUCCGGCUAACUACGUGCCAGCAGCCGCGGUAAUACGUAGGGAGCAAGCGUUGUCCGGAAUCAUUGGGCGUAAAGCGCGCGUAGGCGGCCCGGUAAGUCCGCUCUGAAAGUCCAGGGCUCAACCCUGGAAUGCGGGUGGAUACUGCCGGGCUAGAGUCCGGAAGAGGCGAGUGGAAUUCCUGGUGUAGCGGUGGAAUGCGCAGAUAUCAGGAGGAACACCAAUAGCGUAGGCAGCUCGCUGGGACGGUACUGACGCUAAGGCGCGAAAGCGUGGGGAGCGAAC
This 419-nucleotide ribosomal RNA is filed under the name uncultured bacterium. RNAcentral's name for it is "bacterial SSU rRNA". It matches the Rfam family "Bacterial small subunit ribosomal RNA", at positions 362 to 773 of the family's 1533-position model. The record is from RNAcentral.